RNAcentral lists this ribosomal RNA (706 nucleotides) under Alexandrium tamarense. RNAcentral describes it as "LSU rRNA". It matches the Rfam family "Eukaryotic large subunit ribosomal RNA", at positions 23 to 671 of the family's 3401-position model. The record is from RNAcentral. Lineage: Eukaryota; Dinophyceae; Gonyaulacales; Pyrocystaceae.
ACCCGCUGAAUUUAAGCAUAUAAGUAAGUGGUGGAAAUUAAACCAAAUGGGAUAUCUUUAGUAAUUGCGAAUGAACAAGGAUAUGCUUAGCUUGACAAAUGGAGCUAUUGGCUUUGAAUUGUAUUGUGGAAAUGUAUUACCAACAGAGGUGCAGGUGCCAGCCUAUUGAAAUAAAGCGUCAAUGAGGGUGAGAAUCCUGUUUGUCAUGUGCAGCCCUUUGUGCACGGUGUAUAUUUGCUGAGUCACACUCCUUGGCAUUGGAAUGCAAAGUGGGUGGUAAGUUUCAUGUAAAGGUAAACAUGCAAUUGAGACUGAUAGCACACAAGUACCAUGAGGGAAAUAUGAAAAGGACUUUGAAAAGAGAAUUAAAUGAGUUUGUAUUUGCUGAACACAAAGUAAACAGACUUGAUUUGCUUGGUGGGAGUGUUGCACUUGCUUGACAAGAGCUUUGGGCUGUGGGUGUAAUGAUUCUUUCUUUGCAUGCCAGUUUCUAUUUGUACAUCUGAUUACCUUUGCACAUGAAUGAUAAGUCUCCUGUGGGGGGUGGAUUGCAUGUGCAUGUAAUGAUUUGUGUUUUGAUAAAUGUGUCUGGUGUAUGUGUGUGUUCCUGUGCUUGGGGAUGCUUCCUUCCUUGGACUUACAAGCCCUGACACACACAUGCUGGCAAAAUGCUUCUGCUUGACCCGUCUUGAAACACGGACCAAGG